Molecule: small nuclear RNA, 107 nt
Filed under: Nannospalax galili (Upper Galilee mountains blind mole rat)
Lineage: Eukaryota; Metazoa; Chordata; Mammalia; Rodentia; Spalacidae
Source: RNAcentral
AUGCUUGCUUCGACAGCACAUACAGUAAAAUUGGAACAAUGCAGAGAAGAUUAGCAUGGCCCCUGCACAAGGAUGACAUGCAAAUUUGUGAAGCAUUCCAUAUUAAA